Molecule: ribosomal RNA, 336 nt
Filed under: uncultured Acidobacteriota bacterium
Lineage: Bacteria; Pseudomonadati; Acidobacteriota
Description: bacterial SSU rRNA
Rfam family: Bacterial small subunit ribosomal RNA
Source: RNAcentral
AAUCAACGCUGGCGGCGUGCCUAACACAUGCAAGUCGAACGCGAAAGCCCCGCAAGGGGUAAGUAGAGUGGCAAACGGGUGAGUAACACGUGGGUGACCUGCCUUCGAGUGGGGGAUAACGUCCCGAAAGGGACGCUAAUACCGCAUGACAUCCUGCCUUUGGACAGGCGGAGAUCAAAGCUGGGGAUCGCAAGACCUGGCGCUUGAAGAGGGGCCCGCGCCUGAUUAGCUAGUUGGUGAGGUAACGGCUCACCAAGGCAACGAUCAGUAUCCGGCCUGAGAGGGCGGACGGACACACUGGGACUGAGACACGGCCCAGACUCCUACGGGUGGCAG